Molecule: small nucleolar RNA, 139 nt
Filed under: Triticum aestivum (bread wheat)
Lineage: Eukaryota; Viridiplantae; Streptophyta; Magnoliopsida; Poales; Poaceae
Also listed under: 1 other name
Description: Small nucleolar RNA Z247
Rfam family: Small nucleolar RNA Z247
About the family: Z247 is a member of the C/D class of snoRNA which contain the C (UGAUGA) and D (CUGA) box motifs.
Source: Rfam by way of RNAcentral
AGUGUGGACGAGGAAGACAUUAUCUCCCACAUCCUGGCCGGACUUGAUGAAGAUUUCGAUCCGGUGGUUUUUGUUAUGUGCUCCAGGGUGGGGCCGGUCACUGUAGCUGAGCUUUUCUCGCAGCUUCUCAGCUUCGAGA